RNAcentral lists this ribosomal RNA (495 nucleotides) under uncultured bacterium. RNAcentral describes it as "partial 16S ribosomal RNA". It matches the Rfam family "Bacterial small subunit ribosomal RNA", at positions 29 to 506 of the family's 1533-position model. The record is from RNAcentral.
AUGAACGCUGGCGGCGUGCCUAAUACAUGCAAGUCGCGCGAACAGACGAGGAGCUUGCUCCUCUGACGUUAGCGGCGGACGGGUGAGUAACACGUGGAUAACCUACCUAUAAGACUGGGAUAACUUCGGGAAACCGGAGCUAAUACCGGAUAAUAUAUUGAACCGCAUGGUUCAAUAGUGAAAGACGGUUUUGCUGUCACUUAUAGAUGGAUCCGCGCCGCAUUAGCUAGUUGGUAAGGUAACGGCUUACCAAGGCAACGAUGCGUAGCCGACCUGAGAGGUGGUUCGGCCCACCUGGACCCGAGCCCCGUCCCCACCCCCCACGGGGGGCAGCAGUGGGGAUUCUUCCGCAAUGGGCGAAACCCUGCCGGAGCACCCCCGCGGGAGUGAUAAAGGUUUUCGGUUCGUAAACCUUUUUUUUUGGGGAAGAACAAAUUUGUAAGUAACUAUGCACGUUUUGACGGUACCUAAUCAAAAAGCCCCGGCUACCUCCGU